GUUAAGCGCGUGCAUAGCGACGAUACAAAGCCCUGAUCAAUGGAGUGAAGAUAUUACGAGUCACCAUGGCAACAGGACAACAAAAGACGUCCGGAAAUGGAUAUGAUACCUCAAGCAAUUAGCGACUACGAGCCUAUAUUCCGUAGGAAAAGCAACACGGCUGCAGCGGCGAAAGAGAAAGAGUUAGCUUGAAAGAAAAUAGAUGCCCGAGUCAAUGCCCAACAGAAAGAAGGCAGAGACUAGAACAACUGGUGGAGGACCUGCACCUCCAACACUGACGCAUGCAGAGGAGAAGGCCCUCAGCCUGAACACUGGAAAGCAGAGGCUGAAGGAAUUCCUGGAGGGAGUUCAUCAGAACCAGUCACUCCCCAGGAUACAAGUGCAUUUGUAAAAUAGUGUGAAAGAACAGCAGGAGGAGGUCAGUCACGUUCUGCUGCACAGAUGCACACAGUUCAGGUAUGUUCAAUAAACACCAGAGUUCAAUUCUGUAAGACUAAUGAGGAACUAUGUCUUGUAACUAUAAAUCUCCUGUAUUUUAAGUUACUGGUUACAGAGUUGUAUAAACUAAAUCUCAAGGAAAUAUCACACUUGUACCACAAGAUUGAAAAGACAGAUCUAGAAAUUGAAAUUCCCAAACACAAGCUGGAGAUGAGUGUAUAGUUAAAGGUGAAUUGUAUGAAUAAUUGGUGAAUUGUAUGAAUAAUUGGAAGAAUCAUAAAAUCUAACAAUUGCCUUUGUAUUUGUAGGAAAUGAAGAAAACCAAAUAAAUUAUGAUUUGCAUUUAUUCAGUUUCUUUGAUUGGUGGUGGUGAUGGUUUAGUAAAACAUUACGGCAAAUCACAUCUCUGACUGUCCAUCCACUCUGCAGAUUACCAUGAUGGAAGGAGUCUCCUCAGGGUCUUGUAUUUGUAGGGCAGGGUGUUGCUCCCCUCUAAUAACUGCAAUAAUGUGGAGAACAACACAUGUCACAUUAAUGUCACAGGCCUCUCAGGUGUUUCCCUGAGGUGACGUAGGCACUGAAGAAGUGCUUUCAACAGGCCUAUGGUCAUUUCCACACGGGCUCUUGUUCUGCAGGGCCACAUUAAAGCGCUGCUGGGGGCCUGCUUCAGGUUCUGGGUGAGGGGUCAGUAGUGUGGGCUGGCAUUAACCCCUAUCUCCAGCAGAAAGCCGUCAAUCUCUCCUAUAAGAAAGUUAACAUUACUUUAGUGCUGCAUAGAAGUGUUCCUGUGAGUGUGAGUGCAUGCAUUGAAAUAAGUGUAUAGGACAUACAUGUACUUACCACAGUGCAGCCUGUUACUUAGGGUUGACUCACUAUAUAUUCAUGAGUUCACGUUUAUGAUAUGUGCAGCAUCACAUAUGAUCAUGUCGACACGGAGUGGCCCGUUUCAAGAAGGUGGUUUUGUGGAAACUCUGAGUUUGUUGACUCCGAAAUGAGGAAAAGUCAGAGUUUUCAGUUUCAGAAAGCGGGGUUACUUAAACCCGUAAAGCGGGGUAAGUUUAAGCCGUUUCAAGAGGCGAGGUAAUCGAAACUCAGAGUCAGUUACUAUGGCAACUGACUCUGUGAACCUAACCUGGUCGCGAGCAGGUUUUAUUCGGGAAACCCAGAGUUUCCUUCGGUCUCAGCCCCUUUUUUAAAGUGAACAGUGUUAAAAUACCUCGUUUAAUCUUUCAGUGCAUUCAUAGAUUUCACCUGUUUCCUUCGCGAAGAGACCAAAAUGUCCGUUUCUAGAGGAUCCUGUAGCUGUAUUAAUUCACACGGCAUUGAAUUUACGCCGCGAAAGGAUUUUAACGCCACGAGUUAAUUUUCCGUCAUAUCGCCGUGCAUAUUUAUUUCAGCGGUACCGUUUUUAUCGAGACUCCAUACAUACAUUAACAAUCUUAUCCACCCAUACGUCAAACACAUCACCCAUCGUGGCCGUGCUUUUACAUCCGAACAGAUUCUUUGUGUUGCGUUACGUUUUUUUUUUGCAAACGGUAGUUUUCUUUAUAAUAUUGGAGAUGCUGAGCACAUUAGUGAAGCUACUGUAUGUAGAAUAGUUCGACCUCAAGCGCUUUCUUUGACACAAACUCCUCAGAGCCAUUAAAGAAGAGUUUCACAGGAUUACAGGUAUGUGGUAAUUAAUUUGUUUCAUUGAGGCUAAUCUGAAAAAUGAUGAUCAGUUAAUAAUAUCUUGCUGUGAUCUGAAAUAAACUGAUAAAUGUGCAGGUGCACUGACUACUCUUUCUAAUGGUCACUGUAACUGACAUUACAUUGUUUACAUCACCAAGAUCAUAUGUGAUGCUGCACAUAUCACUCAUGAACUCAUGAAUAUAUAGUGAGUCAACCCUAAGUAACAGGCUGCACUAGGGUAAGUACAUGUAUGUCCUAUACACUUAUUUCAAUGCAUGCACUCACACUCACAGGAACACUUCUAUGCAGCACUAAAGUAAUGUUAACUUUCUUAUAGGAGAGAUUGACGGCUUUCUGCUGGAGAUAGGGGUUAAUGCCAGCCCACACUACUGACCCCUCACCCAGAACCUGAAGCAGGCCCCCAGCAGCGCUUUAAUGUGGCCCUGCAGAACAAGAGCCCGGGUGGAAAUGACCAUAGGCCUGUUGAAAGCACGUCUUCAGUGCCUACGUCAACUCAGGGAAACACCUGAGAGGCCUGUGACAUUAUUGUGGCAUGUGUUGUUCUCCACAUUAUUGCAGUUAUUAGAGGGGAGCAACACCCUGCCCUACAAAUACAAGACCCUGAGGAGACUCCUUCCAUCAUGGUAAUCUGCAGAGUGGAUGGACAGUCAGAUGUGAUUUGCUGUAAUGUUUUACUAAACCAUCACCACCACCAAUCAAAGAAACUGAAUAAAUGCAAAUCAUAAUUUAUUUGGUUUUCUUCAUUUCCUACAAAUACAAAGGCAAUUGUUAGAUUUUAUGAUUCUUCCAAUUAUUCAUACAAUUCACCUUUAACUAUACACUCAUCUCCAGCUUGUGUUUGGGAAUUUCAAUUUCUAGAUCUGUCUUUUCAAUCUUGUGGUACAAGUGUGAUAUUUCCUUGAGAUUUAGUUUAUACAACUCUGUAACCGGUAACUUAAAAUACAGAAGAUUUAUAGUUACAAGACAUAGUUCCUCAUUAGUCUUACAGAAUUGAACUCUGGUGUUUAUUGAACAUACCUGAACUGUGUGCAUCUGUGCAGCAGAACGUGACUGACGUCCUCCUGCUGUUCUUUCACACUCUGGGGCAGAGGGAAGAUAAUAAUGUAUACUUGUAUACUUGGAGAUCAAGUUACAUCAUUUAGGCUACGCAACACAAACAUCAGAAAUCAUGUGCUGUGUAUAAACUGUAUUAAUAUUACACUUUGUAAUACUGCUUAUCAUAAUUUAAGCUUUAUUUAGUAUGAUACUCACAACAUCCUGGGCUUCUGUUGUGACAGGAGGAUUCAUAUAUUACCAUCAGAAUCUGUUAAGACCAACAAAGAACCCAACCCAGACUCUAAGAAAUUAAUAUAUCAAAAGUAGCCUAUGUAAAAAAUCAAAUAUAAAGGUUGGCCUCUUACAUUUUACAAAUGCACUUGUAUCCUGGGGAGUGACUGGUUCUGAUGAACUCCCUCCAGGAAUUCCUUCAGCCUCUGCUUUCCAGUGUUCAUGCUGAGGGCCUUCUCCUCUGCAUGCCUCAGUGGUGGAGGUGCAGGUCCUCCACCAGUUGUUCUAGUCUCUGCCUUCUUUCUGUUGGCUGAGUAGAAGUCAAAUGAUUUAACUGUGUGAAAACAUUACAGCCAUGUUGAAAAUGCUGCUGCACUGCUAUACUCUGCAAGCUAUUUAGUUAUUUAAUAUGUCAAAUGUUGUCAGGAAGUAGUCAGGUAGUCUACACCCAUGAUAGGAUGGUGCCUUAUACCUGUUUGAAUUAUGUUUUUAUAUUUAAUUUUUAGCCACGUUCUUUUAUGCCUGCAGGAUUGCGCCUACGUAAAAACUGAAAUUAAAUUCUUAUAUUAUUACGUGUUUUGGGUAACUUUUAAAAACCUAAUUAGAUUAAUGUAAUAAUUGCUCUCCAUAAAACGUAUUGGAUUAUUGAAUUAUCAUUACUUUACAAAUCGGACAUCAACCACAACAGGAAUUUUAAAAAUGCAUAGACAUAACACUGCACUUUUAAUUCAUACAAACAUCGGUAUUUUAUGCAAUUACUGAAGUAACUCCUUAGAUGAGUGAAAAAUUACUUUACAAGUCCUUACUUUACGAGUGAAAUACAUACAUACAUACAAUACAUAAAUAACAACAAUGCUAAAAUUAUUUAGUAUUUAGUUACGCUGAACACUGUAUGAUUAAAAUGUAAACUUACGCAUUGACUCGGACAUCUAUUUUCUUUCAAGCUAAUUCUUUCUCUUUCGCCGCUGCAGCUGUGUUGCUUUUCCUACGGAAUAUAGGCUCGUAGUCGCUAUUUGCUUGAGGUAUCAUAUCCAUUUCCGGACGUAUUUUGGUGUCCUGUUGCCAUGGUGACUCGUAAUAUCUUCACUCCAUUGAUCAGGGCUUUGUAUCGUCGCUGUGCACGCGCUUAACUCUGAGUCAGACAACUCAGAGUGGCUUAAACCAACUGUUUUCAGCUGUUCUGGAACCGAAAACUCCAGGUUUGCAAACUCAGAGUAAAUCAACUCAGAGUUUCGUUUUAACUCAGAGUUUAUUAAACCUCCUUCUUGAAACGGGCCCCAGAACUGAGCGCGAUGAGGGUAAAUCCGGAUCUGGACUCCUUUCCCACCAUCAGCAGAAGAACCGAAGGAGAAGAAGCGCCGACCAACAACCAGAACAGGGUGGAAGCUCUGACACCACAGCAGCUGGAGGACACAGACCUCAGCAUGGACGCCUCACAGACUCCACAACGUCUGCAGCCAUCACGUUCUGGGCUCAUCAGAUGAACCAGCUACUACAAGCCCUGCACCAGCAUGAAAGGACUGUGUCUGAAGCUUCUGAAGCCGUGAAAGUGUCAUACACGCGUGUGUGUCUGACAGACACCUGCUUAUGACAAUCAGCAAAGGAAAACAAGGACAGAGCAACAGCAGAGAAGACGUGCUCUAACACAGACACUGGUUGAAACAACAGGAGAGGCUUCAGACGUGAUCGGCCCAAUAGAGCUGCAUCCAAGCAUCCAGGAAAGGUCUGUCAUCGAGGAACAACUGUCCCAUUGAAAGGCUUCACCCCACUGGCGCUCACAUCAGACUGAUGGUUGGGGAAGGAGGAAGGUGACGGUUCCUUUUCACGUGACGUACAAGACGGUACCGCAAACACACACACACACAUUCAUACACGCAAUGAAGAAACACGCUUACAGCUGAUACACGCUCAAAUUCAUGUUCAUGCUUAUCUGCUUAUUGCAAUGAAGAAUCGCUUUCUGCUCAAAAAAAAAUCCCACAGAGUGAUUUUACAAUGAUGACAAACAGCUAAACGACAACUGCUGCAUGACUUUGCAGUCUGAUGGGUUUAAACUAUUUCAACUUGCAACAAAUUCAGUAAUAAAAUCCUUCAUGUUUCUAAAAAUACUUGUGCACAACAUAGGUUUGUCUGGCCAGACUAUAGAAAAACAAAAUCAGACUAUAGAAAAACAAAACAGACUGUAGAGAAACAAAACAGACUAUAGAAAAAACAAAACCAGACCGUAGGAAGACUGAGACCGACUGAAACAGACUUUUAAUGACUAUUAAAGGGAAGAUGACUAUUAGAGAGAAGUAAUAAUAAUUACUGUACGUACCAGACUAUUAAACUAUUAAAAGCUUACUCUCCCACUGUCUUGUGUAACAUCUGACAGCAAGACACCUUGAGAUUUAUUGUUGCUUUCAAAUUUAUGCCCAGUUAAAUUUUUAGGAAGAGAUCUCAUGUGUAAAUUAGGUAUUUGAUUGAUUUCCACUCCAGACGGAGUGCAGGUUACAUCUACAGACAUUCUAAAUAAUCCCUCUUUUGUUGCUGUUAACUUCAGCUCAGCUGUGCUCUUAUCAUUGGCUGCUGAGGGGGGGCUGUAACUGAGGCCCUCACACAGGCUGCAUCACAGCUUGUUUAUGAUUUCACACACACACUCAAACUGACCUCAACUUCAUUCUUUUGCGAUGAACACAGGUCUGCGCUUGCGAUUUCUUUUCCUAACGAACAAAAAGAUUUUUUAUUUUUUAUUCUACAGUUCCACACGUCCCUCUGUGAAAACAUGAUGGAGACAGAUGCAGGACAUGGGUCCUUUCGUGAACAGAUGUCAACGGGGUGGAGACUGGUGAACGACUUCUGACCCCAUGUGACGUAUUUACCUACUUUGCAUACUUUUAGAAAACGUUUUUUUAUUCUGCCCGUCAUGUGCAGCAAACAGUGAACUGGGUACCUCCGUAUUCUAAUGACACACUACAUGUUUUUAUUUUUAUUUUUCAGAGGACGCUCUGACCCAACACUCAGUCUUACAGGAAGCCACUGCUUCCCUGUGGCUCACACACAGACAUGAUGUAGGUUUGAUCAGAGGAUGUGAACCAGUGGUCAUCACACCUAAAUCUGACCACAGACCAUGUAAACAACAACAGCCUCUUGAAGGAAGCCAUAGAUGGCGUUACUGCAGACACCACUAAGCUACUGAAACAUUGGAUGCAACAGGCCACAAAGAGAGCCUGUCUAAAUUACACUUUGUUCAGACAAAGGUUAUUUUCUGGGUCAUUGUAAUUACAGCUGAUGGCAAAUCCAUCUCACCCAACUGAGUUAAAGCAAUUUGAAACCUGCCUAAACCGUGCACGUAAAAACAGCUGAUAUCUUUUCUAGGUCUUUGUUCUUAUUGUAGGACUUUCGUUCCUAACUUUACUGUCUUUGAGGCCCCACUCAGGGUUCUGAUGCAGACGUCUUCAUCGUCCACUUCUUGUCUCACGUGGACGUCUGAGGCUGAACAACGUUCACUGACCUCAUGCUUGCUCUUCAGUUGGCUCCUACUUUGGGUCUUCCUGAUCUGACCCUAUGCGACCUUUCACUCAAACAGUGGAUGAGAGAUCAGGUUGUACGACUUCUGUUCUUUGUCCUCAUACUGUGUCUUUGAUUCUUUUGGAAUAGAUCCCACGUUCUACAGCCCGACGGCUUAGAUACAACACCACCUUACUCAACAUGCUGAACGUUACUAUCAAGAGGUCGUCUUUGAAGUCUGGCUCUUUGCUAAGACACUACUCUGCUCAGGCUGCAGAGUUGAUCACAUUGACUGAAGCUAGUAAACUAGCAGAAGGAGAGUCUGUUACCAUCUACACAGACUCACAGACGCUCUGUGGAAGCAUAGGAAGCUUUUGAAGUCUGAUUGCAAACCUAUCUCACUUCAUGAUUAGGUUCUGCUUUGCUGGACGCUGUCCUGCUGCCUACAGCUAAUGCUGUUUGUAACUGUCCGACUCACAACAUCAGUGAUGACUUUGUUUGUGCCGACAUGCAGCUGCAGACGCUGCUGCGAAGGUCGCUGCCCAACAACCCCUCCCUCUCCUGAUCCUUGUUUCCUCUCCUGAUCCUUGUUCCCUCUCUCCAACUCUCUCUAUCCUUUCCUUCCUCUCUCCCUGUGCUUUAAACAUUUUGUACCUCACAGGAACGCAGACUCUGGCUGACGAAUGGUUCCACCUGUAGCCAUGGAGUCUGGUUUGGGCCUGGUGGCAGCCGUGCCGCCCAAACACCUUUUCCCCAUAAUUCAGAUUUCCCAACAGGUGAAAACAGGCGACAGGACCAUUACACCAUCCGACCAGGAGACUGGGUGAUCGUUAAGGAGUUCAGGAGGAAGCACUGGGACUCCAAACGGUGGCGAGGCCACUUCCAGGUCCUUCUGACGACCCACACGGCUGUAAAGAUCGCAGAGAGAGCGACUUGGAUCCACUCCACUGCAAGAAGGUCCCGGAUCCAACAGACGACCCUCCAUCUACAUCUACACCACACGAGAAAACCACCACUGACGAAAAGAACUAAGAAGGACGACCCUCGCUGUGCUCACACACGCACUGAGGCGAGGCUGCGUUGACCGUUCAGCUAAAGGUGUGAGCCAAGCGCCGCCUGAAGCUGCGCCGGUGAAUCACACUAUCAGACCAUACAUCUACACACACGCUCCUGAGAAAACACACACACGAGCAGCCUUGAGUUGCCGACGCUGGACGACGUGUAGACUCUUCACAUCACGGGAGUGACAGUGACUCAGACGACAUUGGGAGGAAACCUGGCGGUGAUAACGAAGUCUCUGUGAUCAGCUGAUCACAACCUGAAGAACUCCAACGAACUGUCAAUACUUCAACACACAGGUUGGAAACAAUCUAACGCUACUGUUCAAUAAGAAGAAGCAGAUUGUUACAGACAUCAAUUGUAACCUUGUUGCGUUAGACAUUUUAUGUUACUCUGAUUAUUGCCUUGAUCAUAUGAUGUUUCCAUGUAACUUUACACAAUACUUUUGAAUGAGAAAAUUUCACAUAAUUCACAACACUGAGUUUAAAUAUUAAUUUGGUGUUUAAUUUGCUCACAAUCACUUUAUUCACUGCUACAAUUCGUUUUUAUCCUUCAUCUACAGAUGACAGAGGUUAUGAGACAAAACGCAUCAUCAUUCUGGUUAAAUCCCUGAAUCUCCUAUUCGCUCUAGACGCAAAUGUACAAUUAAAGAUUCGAAAGCAUGAAAUCUAUCUUAAGAUUAUAUGAAACAGAACCCCACCGGAAACCUAUGGCUAUCAUACAUUAAUUGUCUUUAUUACAUUACUAUUGAAUGGCCGUAGACACGUUGUUAGCAGAGAAAAGAGGCGUUUGUGUUAUGUUUGGAGAGGCAUGUUGUACUUACAUCCUGAAUAACACUGAUUCUAAUGGUAUUGUGGCGAAGGCGCUACACGGCCUUCAGAAUCUCAGCUAACUCUGGUAUAGGUUCUUUCCUCUUGGAAUUGGCUAGACGAAAUGUCUGGAAAAUGGAAAUCUGUUCUCAUGUCCACAGCUGUUUCCUUUAUAAUUGAGAUGGCUGUGAUUCUCUUGUUUGGUUUUUACGUUAUCCCACUGGUUAGAGGUCUCAUCAUGCGUGUGACUUCAGCAACACUCUCGUAUCAAAUGACACAAUGCACUAUGUUCAAAAACCCCAACUCUAACUCACUUAAUGACUUUGACGAUGGUAUGGGCUCAUUUUCUUCGCAUGCCGAUAGAGAGGUUAUUCUUGUAUAACUACCCACCAAAAACAGCUCCCAACCUUUUGUCCCUAAGUUACUUGCAUUUUAUGUGAAGGUGUAUUUUGAAUCUUGAUGAGUUAAUACCCUUAUUGUUUCAUUUGCAUGGAUCUUUUAUUAUUACAGAAUGUGAUGUUGACAAUUUUUAUUCUUUUAGUGGUUGAUUAAUGUGUAAUCAAAAGGGGGGAGUGUUAUGGGAAAAAUUGUCUCUUCCUUAUUUCUAUGCAGUUAUUAUAUGAUUUAUGACUUAUGUUCUGCAAUUAAUAUCUUAUGUUUUGUCUUACUGUAUGCAUUUGACAUUUCACCUACAUUGUUCAAUGGUUGUCUCUGCCUGAUAGACUCUCAACUCUAGCUCUAAACCCAAGGUCGGGGAGUUGUGUCUCUGUCUGUUGAGACUUGGUGCUCCUUUCUCACAGAUAGUUGGACGUCAGCGAUGCAGGUGUGAGAAAGUAAAAAUCUUCACACACACUGCGACAGGGAGGAGAUGGUGCGUGUAAUUUGAUUGGGUUAGAAAGACAUUCCACCCUAGUCGGACAGAGAAGCUAAAAGGCAGAAGCAACCUGAGGAUCGUGGGCUCUUUGCAUCACACCUUCGUGGUGUGUGCACUGAUCUCCCCAGCUGGUUUUUGGUUUGUUGAUGUGCACGAUCAACAUCCAUGCUUUUUAUUUGCUUUCCCCAUUAUUUUUAUUUUCUUUAUUAUUUCAAUAAAUCGCACAAAAGGACAA
This is a long non-coding RNA of Betta splendens (Siamese fighting fish), 9859 nucleotides long. RefSeq lists it as uncharacterized. Lineage: Eukaryota; Metazoa; Chordata; Actinopteri; Anabantiformes; Osphronemidae. The transcript is spliced from 4 exons. The record is from RefSeq and is a predicted model, not a curated record.